This 253-nucleotide ribosomal RNA is filed under the name uncultured bacterium. RNAcentral's name for it is "partial 16S ribosomal RNA". It matches the Rfam family "Bacterial small subunit ribosomal RNA", at positions 524 to 776 of the family's 1533-position model. The record is from RNAcentral.
UACAGAGGGUGCGAGCGUUAAUCGGAAUUACUGGGCGUAAAGCGUGCGUAGACGGUUCUGUAAGUCGGAUGUGAAAUCCCCGGGCUCAACCUGGGAAUUGCAUUCGAGACUGCAAAGCUAGGGUGCGGAAGAGGGAAGCGGAAUUUCCGGUGUAGCGGUGAAAUGCGUAGAUAUCGGAAGGAACAUCAGUGGCGAAAGCGGCUUCCUGGUCCAGCACCGACGUUCAGGCACGAAAGCGUGGGGAGCAAACAGG